RNAcentral lists this ribosomal RNA (422 nucleotides) under Rhinella major group sp. ABGD cluster 35. RNAcentral describes it as "partial large subunit ribosomal RNA". It matches the Rfam family "Bacterial large subunit ribosomal RNA", at positions 1834 to 2457 of the family's 2925-position model. Lineage: Eukaryota; Metazoa; Chordata; Amphibia; Anura; Bufonidae. The record is from RNAcentral.
CUUGAUUUUCUAUAAGAGGUCCAGCCUGCCCAGUGACCAUGUUCAACGGCCGCGGUAUCCUAACCGUGCGAAGGUAGCGUAAUCACUUGUUCUUUAAAUGUGGACUAGUAUGAAUGGCAUCACGAAGGUUAUACUGUCUCCUUUUUCUAAUCAGUGAAACUAAUCUCCCCGUGAAGAAGCGGGGAUAAAAUUAUAAGACGAGAAGACCCUAUGGAGCUUUAAACAACGCAGCAAUUACCAAAGAAUUUUUAAUGUUUCUGUAACACUAACUUUUACAAGUAAAAUGACUGCAAGUUUUUGGUUGGGGUGACCACGGAGUAUAUCAUAACCUCCAUGUUGAAAGAAUUUUUCUAAGCCAAGAAUUACCAAUCUAAGCAUUAACAAAUUAACAUCCAUUGACCCAAUAAAUUUGAUCAACGAAC